CGCUUACGGGACCUUCAGAAGCAUCACCAGGGAGCGGAUCGAGGUGAUCCUGCAGGGCACAGCCAGUGCCAACGCCAGCGCCCCCGAUGCCGUGUGGGAGGACUACGAGUUCAAGUGCAAGCCAGGUGACCCCAGCAGACGGCCCUGCCUCAUGUCCCCAUACCACUACCGCCUGGACUGGCUGAUGUGUUUUGCGGCCUUCCAGCUACACGGGAGGAGGAAGGAUCGAUUGAGCCCAACUGCUGCAGCCUCAAAUGAUGGCAGCAUUGCACUCCAGCCUGGGGGACAGAGCCAGACCCUGUCUCAGAGAACAGGAAAGAAGGAAUCCCCAAGGGCUGGGGGUAGCAGAGGCACCCACAGACAGAGCUGCUGUUUCUGUCCUCUCGGUCCCGUCUCAGCCACCAGAAAACAGCCUCAGGGAGGCAGGGUCCAGAGGGUGCUGGGGCAGACAGGCUCCGAGGCACCCAGGCAGGGAAGCGAGGCCAGCAGCCGGCAUAGGAAGGAGUGGUCAGGGCUACAAGGAGCAUGCGAAGCAGGCAGCCCCUUAAGGGGACCCCAGCCAAAGAACUGGAGUGCGGC
Molecule: small RNA, 579 nt
Filed under: Pongo abelii (Sumatran orangutan)
Lineage: Eukaryota; Metazoa; Chordata; Mammalia; Primates; Hominidae
Description: processed transcript
Source: RNAcentral